AGCAAUUGUAGUACUGUCCUGCUCCCAUUAAGUAGUGCAAAAAUCAGUAAGUGGUGGCCUAAUGCAGAAACACGACAAAGAAAACAGUAAAAGUCACAACGUGAGAUUGUAAGAAGAGAAGAAAGCGUACCUUGAAUAAAUUCAAUUCAACAAACACUAAAUUAGCUCCCUGCUAUAUGGAGAUUCUUGGGAAGAUGAAAAAGUGAAUUAGAAGCCGUGUUUGUACAUUAGGAAUUCUCAGAGUUUGAUCGAAGGAAACCAAAAUAUUUCUCUCCAAAAUAGUGAGUAUUGUUGAAUUACAAACCCUGAAAACAUGGGAGAACACUCUGUCUCAGCCUCUUCUUGCCUGAUGGCAGGCCAUCAAUCCUUUCUUGAGACAGAACUUGCUUAUCAGCCCAGAGAAGUUACCAACAGGCACUAGAAAAACUUGCAGACACAUCUUCCUACAUUUGCCUACCUUUUGAAAGACUGAAACUUUUCUCUCCUUUGUCUUUCUACUAUAUUGGAUUGAGGCUCUUUGUUGAAAUACUGUUUAAGCAAGUCCCCUAUGCCACUGCCUUGAGAGAAAUACUUUUGAACUGAGGCUUCUCCUGCAUGAUGGGUACAGCAUACCUUAAUAAAUGUCCAUUGUCUUUUUUUGUUAAUCUGUGUUUGUUUUCAAGAAACUAUCUCAACAAAGAACCUAAAAAGGAAAGACAACAAAUGAUGUUUUCUCUUCUACAUAACAUAUUUUGAAAGUUAAAGCCAAGCCAGGAAGAGAAUGACAACAUGAGAAAUCCCAAAUCAAGGUAAACACUGCUUUAGCAAAGAACAGAACUGUGAAAUAAACCAGAAGGAAUAUUAUCAUGGCUGUCAUCUAGGUAUCUCCCCACCCCUCCCUCUCACAAAAAACACUUGCCUUACUUCUCUUGAUAUUCUCCCUAUAAAAUAGAAACUGUUAGAGAAACUAUUUCUGCAUACCUGUGUUUUAGAAAAAAAUGUGUUUCAUAUGGAAUAUGUUUCUUUUUGUCAUUUCCAGCUGAUAGAAAUAUGAAAGAUAUUUAAGCCUUGCCCAGACAUUGAACAGAUUUCUUAAUUAAUACCGCAAAAGCUAAAACAAAACAAAAAAAACUUUAAAUAGGGCUUACAUUUGAAAAGCACCUGCACAUUUUGGACUACAUCUGAGUUUCAAAUUCAUAUGAAAGUAUUAUGAAAGUUUCAGAAGAUUCUCUAUUUCUUCUUAUUUUCAGGUUAUAUAUCUAAGUAGACGGUAUUUCAAGG
Molecule: long non-coding RNA, 1260 nt
Filed under: Callithrix jacchus (white-tufted-ear marmoset)
Lineage: Eukaryota; Metazoa; Chordata; Mammalia; Primates; Cebidae
Description: lncRNA (ENSCJAG00000086024.1)
Source: RNAcentral